ACACUCAUGUUGGCAAUCAUUCUGUUAUUUCACUGAGCUAAUGUUAACUAAAACACCAACAGUCAUGCUGCAAUCGUUCUGUUAUUUCACUGAGCUAAUGUUAACUAAAAUACCAACAGUCAUGCUGCAAUCGUUCUGUUAUUUCACUGAGCUAAUGUUAACUAAAAUAUCAACCGUCAUGUUGGCAAUCAUUCAGUUAUUUUCCUGAGCUAAUGUUAACUAAAAUACUGCCAGUCAUGUUGGCAGUCAUUCUGUUAUUUCACUGAGCUAAUGUUAACUAAAAUAUCAACACUCAUGUUAGCAAUCAUUCUGUUAUUUCACUGAGCUAAUGUUAACUAAAAUACCAACAGUCAUGCUGCAAUCGUUCUGUUAUUUCACUGAGCUAAUGUUAACCAAAAUAUCAACCGUCAUGUUGGCAAUCAUUCAGUUAUUUUCCUGAGCUAAUGUUAACUAAAAUACUGCCAGUCAUGCUGGCAGUCAUUCUGUUAUUUCACUGAGAUAAUGUUAACUAAAAUACCAACAGUCUUCCUGGCAAUCAUUCUAUUUCACUCUGCUAAUCAAAAAAUUAAAAUCAAACUGUCAUCCUACCAGUUUGGCUGGUUUUACACCGUAAAUGGUAUUAAAGAUUCAUUGCGUUCCUCUUUUUAGCCGAAAUGACAAUUCACCAUCUGAUUGACUGGGAGUCUGACCUGCCAUGGGAGGGCCCCUGCUGGCCAGCCUUGUGCUGGUGGUCAGUUGGAUGGUUCGUCCAGCCUUCUUUAACAAAUAAUGUAUCAAAAGCCCUGACAACCGCCAUCGUCUCAGAGGAACAACUGUCAACGCUCACAUCUGGAUGGAAGCGCCAGCCAUCCCUGCCUACACCUGGAUGUGUCCAUCAAGACUGAACUGUUCAAAGACUGGGUCAUUGGAGGUUGGUGAACCUUGUGUUAAAGUUGUCCUUUAUUUUUUUUUAUUUUCACUUUAUUAAUGAUAAUGAAAAUUAAGGUUGGCAAUGUGCCUGCUAUAUCAUUCUGCUAAUGGUAAUAAAAAUACUACUAGUCAUGCUGACAAUGUCCCUGCUGCUUCCUUCUGCUAAUGGUAAUUAAAACACCAGCAGUAAUGCUGGGAAUAUUUCUGUCCUCUUUUACCAUGUUGUUCCAUUUGCUAAUGAUAAUUGAAUCACGAUCAGUAAUGUCAGCAUUUUGUUUUUCUGUUGUUUUGCUGUGAGUGACAAUUCACAACCUGAUCGACUGGCACUCAUACCCACCAUCAGAGGGCCCCCGCUGGCCGGCCUUGUGCUGGUGUUCAGGUGGACGGUUCCUCCGGCCUGUGGGCUGCCUCUACCCUAUAUAGGGUUCCUUGGGCCUUUGGGUCUGCUUCCACCCUUCAGUGGGGUACUUUAGACCUUUGGGUCUGCUUCCACCCUUCAGUGGGGUACUUUAGACCUUUGGGUCUGCUUCCACCCUUCAGUGGGGUACUUUAGACCUUUGGGUCUGCUUCCACCCUUGAAAGGGUUCUUUAGACCUUUGGGUCUGCUUCCACCCUUCAGAGGGUUUAUCCAGCCUUCAGCUACACCUCCAUUUUACAACAGGUAGGUCGUCUUCACAGGUGAGUCAAGUUUAUUUAAUGUUAUUAUGCUGCAUGGUUGAUCAGUGACAAAAACACAGUAAUCAACAAAACCAAAAACACAAAAACAAAAUUAUCAAUAUGCCUUUAAUAUAAUCUCUGCACAACAAAAAGUUUUAAAAGGGUUUCCAAAAUUAAUAAAAACAGCAAACUGUUUAAAAUAAUAUUUUGUUUAAGUGUACACUUGAAACAACAAAAAUCAAAACAAGGACUAGGUUAAUAAAACACACCUUUUCAGCACAGCUGAGCUGAAACAAAAGUCACAAAAUGUGCAAAAAGGGCACAAAAAAAACCAAAAGUUCCACAAUAAAAAAAUAUAACAAAUCGUCAUCAUAACAAGGUACUUUCAAGGAAACCUCAGAAAAUCACAACAAAGAGCACCACCACACCAACCACCUCCAAAACCUUUUUGAAAGAAACUACAAUGUUCAGGAGGCACUGUAAAGGAAACGUGGGCCAACAACAGAACAAUAACAUUUAAAGUGCUAUCUGGAAAACAUCCCAAUGUCAACAAUGUGGGCAAAAUACUUUUGAGGAAACAAUGGAGCAACAAGAGAACAACAGCAAACAAUGAUUUCCUUAAAGUGCUUCAAGGAAAUUUGGACCAACAUUGGAACAACAAAAUCCAAACUACUCCCAGGGAAACAUCACAACAUCAACAAUGUCCAUGAUGCUUUCAAGGAAACAAUGGAUCAACAAUGGAACAACAGCAAAAUAACAAUAUUCACAAAUCACGCUCAGAUCAAUGGCAUGAAAACAAAGUUCAUUUAAGUUCUUUCAAGGAAAUAAUGGAACAACUAUCUUUCAAGGAAAUUAAAGUGCAGCAACAGAACAUUUAUAAGGUCCUCUCAAAGGAACAACUGCUCAACUGAUGGCGAAUCCUGACAACCAGCAAGGCAUUAAACCUUGUUUCAUCACUCCUGCAAAACCACCCAGCUGCAUGAGGUUACUUGGAUGGAGAUGAGAACAAUAACCUGGAUGAUGGGGAUAAAGACUGUAGACCCCAAGGCCAUGGCGUGUACUGAUAACUUCACUUUUUAUGCUGUUCUAGUCAUGUCUGCAUUCCUUUGUGUAUUUGUAUGUCUCUGCUUUUUCAUAACUGAUUGCUAGAAUGUCCAAUGCUGCAGCGUUGGAUAUUUUGGCAGACUUUUCAGGGACGCAGUGCUGCUGUUCCAUAUCCUGCCAUUCUACAAGGAGAUGGUCUUUGGUUCUUCCAUCCUCGGGAGAAGCUGAGUCAGGCAUCCUUACGCUGGGAGCUACAGCCAAAGUGUUCCUCUGAGAAGAAGAUCCUGCUGCCCUCCAUCACCUUUUGGAUGCUGAGCAAGGAUGCAGACUGGGUCAUCAACCAGCCACUGGAUACGUAUCUGAGGCCAUCAGAGGCCAGAGCUGUCCAAACCGGUUCUUGACAGAAACAAGUGCUUGCAAAAGACCCCGAUGCCCUCCAAUCACCCUCUGGAUGCUGAGCCAGGAUGCAGACUUGGUCGUCAACCAGCCAACGGAUACAUGCCUGAAGCCAUCAGAGACCAGAGCUGUCCAAACCGGUUCUCCAACAGGAACAAGGAGCUUGCAGACUAUGAGGAGGAAGAUGACAACUCCAGUGCUUACUCUGAGCUGGAGAGGACAGCUGGUGUUUAAGGUGGACUAUGUUACUGGAUUACAAAACUGGACUAGACUUUUGUUGCAAAGUGUGUGAAUCAGAAGAAUCAACCCAGACUCGCUGAUGUAUCCUGGACAUUUUUGGUCAGAAUACUCUAUGGUCUUUUAUUUUGAUUCAUCAUGCUUGCUCUGCCUUGAAGCAGCAUUUCACUAAGAUGGACUGUUAUUAUGCAAGACUCUUGACUCUACUUUUAUUUUACACACAACUGUACAUAUUGUCAUUAAGCUAUGAUAUAAAAAACUAGAAUUUAGUAAAUCUGAAGUCAGCAGCUAAGUAAUUCAUGUAGCGGCUUUGCCGUGAUCGCCCAUCUCUUAUAUGGCCGUGGGGGUCGUUCGGGUCUUUUCCAACAAUAGGAUGUAAAUCCUCUUGAGUGUCAUUAUCUGGGAAGGAAGGAAGAAGGCUGUUGGUUUUUCACCCGAUCUACAUGGAUUGUUGUUGUGGAGCCCCUAAAAGCUCCAACGGGGGUAAAAUAUGAGGGAGUAAAAUAACUGCUGAUAUGAAAAACUGCAUUUUAAUAUAAAAGGUUGUGUUCUUUUGCUAAAAUGUUUCAGCUGUAUGCUCACCCAUGUCCUAUGGUCAGCAUGACCUGGUCGAUAAUGCCGUUGCCACUCAUGAUUAUGGGUGUAAGAUUGUUUUUGAUUAAGAGUUGCUUAAGGCUGUGUAAUAGAUGAUCAUUAAUGUUUUGUUUGACUUCGUAUCUUCCAUCUUAUACUGUUCAUGGUAAAAGACUGUUAAAG
Molecule: long non-coding RNA, 3999 nt
Organism: Cheilinus undulatus (humphead wrasse)
Lineage: Eukaryota; Metazoa; Chordata; Actinopteri; Labriformes; Labridae
Exons: 5
Source: RefSeq, a predicted model, not a curated record